CCGAUCUCUCCUCCACUUUUUCUACUUUUUUCCCCAAAAUUUUCAAAAUCUCUCUAUGCCAAAAUCCUCCGCCCACCGCCCACCGCCAAAGCCGCCCGGAGAGCAGCGGCCCACCGCCGACCAAGAUACCUCUCUCUCUCUCUCUCUCCAUGGCCGGGUCUCUCUCUCUCUCUAUAACCGGAUCUCUCUCUCUCUCCAUCGCCGGGUCUCUCUCUCCAUAGCCGGAUCUCUCUCUCCAUAGCCGGACUACUGUUUGGCACUUCAAACCCAGACCCAAACGGGCGACGCAAAACCCAGGUGGGCUUUUUCCUGCCUUCGGCUUGUGGGUUUGUUUUUUCAUGGUAAAUGAUUUGGGUAUUAAGUUUUUAGCUGAACCCAUAAUACAUUUGAUCUGGUUUUGUUCUUGACCGGGUUCAUUGAAAAUGUAUAUGGUGCUCGCAGUGUGCAUGAACACACUGGCUACAAACACACUGGUUUCAUGCUAGCUUGCACUGGAUUCUAAUUGGUUCCACAAAGCAUGGGUUUCGCAAGUAGAUAAAAGAAAGUGAUCUCAUCGUUGUACGGCGUCGUUUUAACCUAGGGUUUCGCAUUACGUUCCAAAUUCAAGUAUUCCAACCAUGUCAGGAAGCUCAGGUUGCAGCGUCUACGUAGGUAAUCUGGAUGAGAGGGUGAGUGAUAGGGUCUUGUAUGAUAUUUUGAUUCAAGCAGGGCGGGUGGUAGACUUGUACAUCCCUCGAGACAGGGAAACAGAUAAACCCAAAGGUUUUGCCUUUGCAGAAUAUGAAACUGAAGAGAUUGCGGGCUAUGCUGUCAGGCUUUUCUCUGGUCUUGUGUCUCUCUACAAUCGAACGCUGAAAUUUGCAAUAUCUGGGCAAGACAAGCCCUCACCUCUGAUGUCAACGACGCCCGCAUCAAACCCAUCUCAUAGACCAAGGUCUCACCCUGUUCCAAUUAACAAUAUGGAGAUUUCUCAGCACUCCACGAGGUUACCAGAACCAUUGAGGUUUUUAGCUUACCAAGAUAAUGCUCCUCAAGCCCAUCGCCGUCCAAAGCCGCCCAGUUGCCACAGCAGGUCGUAGCCACUCACCGCUGACCAAGAGUGCCACUGCCGCUCCCGAAUCUCUCUACGGAUCAAUUACUAGCAGGAAGGGAACCAAGUUUAUCCCCGGCUUGAUGUUUCAACGGCUUUCAGAUCAACUCUGAUGACUUGGGCAUCAUGGGUUGAUAGGCAUGUCAUGGGAUUGGAUGGCACUAAUUGUAUAAUACUUGUUCCAUUAAUGUGAAUGCAUUUUGAUGUUGUUGGUAACAUCAUUUGGGAAAACUUGUAAUUUAUUUGGAUUUAGUGCACGCUUCAUG
Molecule: RNA transcript, 1356 nt
Organism: Alnus glutinosa
Lineage: Eukaryota; Viridiplantae; Streptophyta; Magnoliopsida; Fagales; Betulaceae
Gene name: spliceosome-associated protein 49-like
Exons: 5
Source: RefSeq, a predicted model, not a curated record